RNAcentral lists this ribosomal RNA (497 nucleotides) under uncultured bacterium. RNAcentral describes it as "partial 16S ribosomal RNA". It matches the Rfam family "Bacterial small subunit ribosomal RNA", at positions 28 to 507 of the family's 1533-position model. The record is from RNAcentral.
GAUGAACGCUGGCGGCGUGCCUAAUACAUGCAAGUCGAGCGAACGGACGAGAAGCUUGCUUUUCUGAUGUUAGCGGCGGACGGGUGAGUAACACGUGGAUAACCUACCUAUAAGACUGGGAUAACUUCGGGAAACCGGAGCUAAUACCGGAUAAUAUUUUGAACCGCAUGGUUCAAAAGUGAAAGACGGUCUUGCUGUCACUUAUAGAUGGAUCCGCGCUGCAUUAGCUAGUUGGUAAGGUAACGGCUUACCAAGGCAACGAUGCAUAGCCGACCUGAGAGGGUGAUCGGCCACACUGGAACUGAGAAACGGUCCAGACUCCUACGGGAGGCACCAGUAGGGAAUCUUCCGCAAUGGGCGAAAGCCGGACGGAGCAACGCCGCGUGAGUGAUGAAGGUCUUCGGAUCGUAAAACUCUGUUAUUAGGGAAGAACAUAUGUGUAAGUAACUGUGCACAUCUUGACGGUACCUAAUCAGAAAGCCACGGCUAACUACGUG